This 218-nucleotide unclassified non-coding RNA is filed under the name uncultured Tomentella. RNAcentral describes it as "sequence contains ITS2". Lineage: Eukaryota; Fungi; Basidiomycota; Agaricomycetes; Thelephorales; Thelephoraceae. The record is from RNAcentral.
ACACCUCAACCCUCAUGGUUUGCCAUGAUGGGCUUGGACUUUGGGGGUCUUGCUGGCAUACCGUCAGCUCCUCUCAAAUGAAUCAGCUUGCCAGUGUUUGGUGGCGUCACGGGUGUGAUAACUAUCUACGCUCGUGGUCUCCCACCAGGUAACCUUCAGCAAUGGAGGUUCGCUGGAGCUCACAAACGUCUCUCCUCAGCAAAGACAGCUUUCUGAAC